RNAcentral lists this ribosomal RNA (469 nucleotides) under uncultured Rhodocyclaceae bacterium. RNAcentral's name for it is "bacterial SSU rRNA". It matches the Rfam family "Bacterial small subunit ribosomal RNA", at positions 9 to 522 of the family's 1533-position model. The record is from RNAcentral. Lineage: Bacteria; Pseudomonadati; Pseudomonadota; Betaproteobacteria; Rhodocyclales; Rhodocyclaceae.
GAGUUUGAUCCUGGCUCAGAACGAACGCUGGCGGCAGGCUUAACACAUGCAAGUCGAACGCGUGUAGCAAUACACGAGUGGCGCACGGGUGAGUAACGCGUGGAUAUCUGCCUUUUGGUUCGGAAUAACCCCGGGAAACUGGGGCUAAUACCGGAUGGUUCCUUCGGGAUAAAGAUUUAUCGCCAUUGGAGCGGCCCGCGUUGGAUUAGGUAGUUGGUGGGGUAACGGCCUACCAAGCCUACGAUCCAUAGCUGGUCUGAGAGGAUGAUCAGCCACACUGGGACUGAGACACGGCCCAGACUCCUACGGGAGGCAGCAGUGGGGAAUCUUGCGCAAUGGGCGAAAGCCUGACGCAGCCAUGCCGCGUGUAUGAUGAAGGUCUUAGGAUUGUAAAAUACUUUCACCGGGGAAGAUAAUGACGGUACCCGGAGAAGAAGCCCCGGCUAACUUCGUGCCAGCAGCCGCGGUA